AUAAGGAAAGUUAAAAGGGUGCACAGGCUUUCCCAUCAGCUAUCCCAGCACACUGAUUUGCAUGUUUAACUGCCCCACUUACACAGUUAUUUGAAGACAUUCAGCUUUUCUGCUUUCCUGAGCUGAGGUCAUUUACAGUGUUAAUCUGGCUCCCAAGGAGUACUGCUGGUUAGGGAUAUCUGGCUGAUUGCUUUUCAGUAUCUGCCUGACAUGAGAGCACCACAAAACACAGAAGUAUCUUACUAAUACUCCUGUGAGUGCUAAGAAGAUGGAAACAAUCACACAAUGCUUUCCUCUAUGUCUUCAGGUUUCUGGGUGGAACUUCACAUGUCCUUAAGCAGCUUUUGCCAUUGCAUGCCAUUUUUACUUUCAUUUUGACACUUGGAAUCAAUUUGAUAUGUACUGCUGGCUUUCUAUCUAUCACAUACAAGGACUCUUCUUGGGUUUGAUAUAAACUGCUUUGAGUUAUAGUGUAGUAAGAUUACAAGUUGCUCGUCAUGGCAUAAUGAGGAAAAGAAAUUUGCCAAAUUAGGGAAAGUGGAAUAGAGGGAAUGAAGGACAGGGUCUUAAGACCACCAGAGAGCCGCAUGGCACGUGCUCAAACGACAUUAGCAUUUAUUAACGAGUUCUUGGAAAAGAAUGAAUAUGUGUGCUGUUUCCAGGAAAUAUACUGCAUGUGUAUAUUUUAACUGCAUAAAUAUAGCACCUGAACUCUGAGAGGAUGUGCUUGGUUCACCAAGUCACCUGGUAUGUAUAACGAAAUAAACAAUGCCUGCUUUCUAAUGCCUCCAUAGUGUUAGGGAGUUUUCUUCCCAGAUUUUCCGAUGGUCAUUUCAUAUUAUUUCUUCUACAGAUUUGGUGUGAAUCAAUAAGACACCACAACACAUUUUAACUCUUUUGAGAGUUCCUGAAGUAAGAACAGCAAAGUAAUCCUCAGAGUUAUAUCACGCUCAGCAGAGGUGAUGCAACUUGCCAGUUUCAGGGUACCUCCCUCAGCUGUGAAUGGCUGGAAACUGGACGUGGCCUGGAGCAGAUGCAGCUGUAUGACACCAGCAGAUCUGUGAUUGCUCUCUCCUCUUUACUGCCAGCAGAAAACAUGCCUCUUGAACUCGUUCAAGUCAUCAUAGCUAAUGAAUAACACCAAUCCUUACAGCUGUUGCAUGAUGUUUUAUUGUUCCUGUUAGCCAGGAUGUCAAGUUGACAGUUGUCAUAUACUCAUCCUCCCGGCAGAAUGAAUAUCAAGGUGGAAGUAUGAUGCAAGUGUCCACAGCCUGGCAUGGCCAAACUUCACAGCAGAAUGAUGCAAUGUGUACUUUGGGCACUAAAGCAACAGCUUACAGAUACACUAUUUGUGUGAGGCAUACCCAGAUGUGCCUUCACGGAAUAGGUCAACACCAGAAUGAGACGCUUAGGUCUCUAGAUCCUCAAGAAGUGUUUCUUUAUAAUUGAGUUGCACACUCAGUGACCCCUUAUUAGCCCAGUCGUUGGAGAAGAACUUGAUAGACAUAUCUGACAGACACAGAACUAUUCAUCUGCUGUAGAAAAGCUAUCAGCAGGGACUGUUCAUAGUUACUUUAAGCAAAACUGGAUUCAUGGUUUUGUGACUUUUGUUGUCCAUAUUCCACAUCAUAACGUCAUGUAGAGCACUGGAAGUUAAAGAGUUAAUGCUCCAGAGAUGCCCCAUUUCCUUUUCUGCUCAUCUCCACAGUGUGUUGCUCCAUAUCCAUCUCACCUUCAGCUUUAGGGUAAGGCCUUCAGUUUUGGACAUUCUCUCUCACUUAUUUGGUUUAUUAGCUUCAAUUCCUAUUAACUUGUAUUCCUGCUAUUACAAUUAGUAAAUUAACUUUCCUCAUCAGAUCGUUGCCGCUGUUUUUAUUUAUUUAGUUAUUAUUGUUCCUUUCCCUUUUUGUUCCCUUCCCCUCUUUUUCAGACCGGUGGGCUUGCAGACCUGCUGUCCCCAUCACGGACACAGACAGAUCUAGAGAUAACUCCAUGACAAAAAAGCAGUAUGAUACGAUGAUUUAAUGAAAUGUCAGAAGUGAACAAGGUCCAUGGAAUUGAAAAAAGACCAUUCAAACAAUGAUGAAAA
Gallus gallus (chicken) is the source of this 2089-nucleotide long non-coding RNA. The record is from Ensembl. NCBI's taxonomy places the organism in Eukaryota, Metazoa, Chordata, Aves, Galliformes, Phasianidae.